UCUCAACACAGCCCCGUCCCCAUUGGCUGCCGCCAAGCCAGCCGCCUCGCCGAUUGGCCGAGGCCCUUCCAUUGUCCUGACCAGAGAGCUUCGGUGAUUGGGCACGGCGCGGGACACGUCACUGAGGAUUGAAAGGGCGCGCAAAUAUAAAAGUGUGUGGAGGGAGCCGGGUGGCGGCGGGAGGCAGAGUUCCGAGGCGGUGGAUCGGCGCUGCUCGCUAUGGAGCGCGGGCCGCCGCCGCCCUGCCCGCCGCUCCCCCGGCCCCGGGGCCCCCCGCGUCCGGACCCCGCAGCCCCGGGACGGGGAGCACAGCACGGGGCGCCGGCGCCGCGGGCGCUCCCGCGAUGCCGCCACCCCCCCCCCCCUCCCCUCCCCACCGCGGCAACUCCCCGGCGGGCCGCUCCGCGCCGCCCCAUUUCACAGACGCGGAAACUGAGGCGCGGAGCUUGGGGCGCGGAGAGGCAAGCCCGCGUUUUUCGGGUCCUCUCGCCCGGCUUCAGCCGUCGCACGGGCGCUGCCUUCGGCGGCGUGUGCGGCUCUGCCUGAGGUGGGAGUUUGGGGGUGUUGGGUUUUGUUUUUUUUUUUUUCUCCCAGAAAUGGGUAAAUUACCUGUAAGAACAAGAAUCGGGAGGUCUCGGUUCUGUUCGUAACCCCCUGGGUGACAAGGAGCAGGCCAGGUGGCCAGGCAGCCCCCUGGUUCUCAGCGCUUCUGGAAGGAUGCCCCAAAUGCCAGCCCAGUGCAGAGGCAGAUGGAGUUGCUGGAAAGUUGGCAAUCUGGGACACAUCUCACCUGCCUUUUGUUGCCUCUCCUCUCCCUGCUUUUUUUUUAUAGUUAAUUGCACUGUAGGAAUAAUCUGUGGAGGACUAUCAAACCGAAGAAAUAUCCCUUUACAUCUGCUUCGCCAUUUACAUCUACUUUACUGGUGCAAACAACACUGAGAGGAGCGCUGUUGUGAUAAAUCCAAAACCACUGACCUUCCCCAAAAGGUGUUAUUGAUGCACUCACUGAAGUAACAGAAACUUGAAUGAUCCAAUGUCCAAGCCAGUUGCUGCUGCUCCGUUAUAAUUGUUGCCUCCUAACAUUUAGCCUCCUCGAGCUGGUGGUUCUUUCAAGAUAUUGCUGGUGAGAAGGCAAUCAAAUUCCAAAUCUUCUAUUGCAAUUAUCAGUUGUUUGGCAAGACAGAGUGCUUUAUGGAAGUCAGAGGUCUUUCUAAGUAAUUACCCUAGUUCUAAAAUGGCCUCAUUUGUGAGGAACUGCCGAUGGACACAGGAAGACAGCUGUUCUGCUACCUGAAAUCAUGUGAAAAUACAUAAGCAGUAGGAACACUAAUGUUUCUGUCUCAAGAAAAGCGUUUUUUUUUGGCCAGUCUGUGUUUUAACAUUUAAACUUUUACACAGAAUAUGGAGCGGAGGAAAAUUGUAAAAAGCCCAGCCAUUUAUGUGGCCUAGCGUGCAGGAGCCAAUUGCUUUGCACAUACUGAACUUCUUCAAAGUUUCUUCUGUGAAAACCAGACCUGAAAGGAAGGAAAAGGAAGACAUUUCCAGCUGUUGUCUAGAGCCAACUAUGUAGUAAAAGAUCAUCCCCCAUGCAGCUCAUAACUGAAGACUUCUAGCAAAGACAAACAAGGAUGGAGAAUCCCAAAGAGCACAGACUACAGAGACCACCUGCUUGACAGUGAAGCCUGACCAAGAGAGAGAUGCAGAGUGGGGAUCUCCUUCCUCCCCAGCUCCCAAGAUAACAUUGUGAAACACCUUGGUAAGGUUCCUCCAGCAGAAUUUUUGAGGAAGUCACAGUACGUAAAGAACCAGACCUUAGAAAGUCUCUGACUGCUUCAGCACUGUGGUUGCUGGCAGAGGUGAGAAAUGGAACUUGCACCAAUUCCAUGAGACGCAGGAGACACAGGAUGUGGGGCAGCACACCUCCCCUGGGACAAGAAGGUUGCUGCUCCAUGCUGCCACCUUUUCUUCCACAUUUUGCUUUCUCUGAAGGACACUGCUUACUCCCCAGUGGUUUUGGCUGGAAGGCAGAUGAUUUCAUAGCUUGCUUUGACAAUGAAGAGAUUAAUUGUCUUCACUGGACCUCCGGAUUUUGUCACUCUGUCCUCUCUUCCAAGGAAUAAGAUCAUUGUUUCUUUGGGUCAAAAUUAAGAGAAUAUUACAGUGAAAAUGGCACAUCAAAAGCUAGCUUGCCAGUCAAAUGCAAAGCUACUAUUAGGCUAUUUUUAACAAGAUAUGAAAGCCUUUCUCAACAAAAAUGUUACAUUUUCAGCUCAAAACAAGAGCAAAACAUCUGCAGUACAUGUGCCUCCUGGGCACAUGUACUUAUGAUGGAGCUGCUGGCGAUUUAGUUUCUCACUGUUGCUUUAGAACAAUUCCAGCUGUACAGCAGGUAGGUUGUUCACAGCACAUUUGGAAAAAGCACUGGCCGUAUCUGCCCUUUUCCUGAGGCUGCAUUGCCAGCCUGUACACAGCCCAGAUUAACACAAUUCUCAGUUGCUUAUUAGAUGUAGACUUAUAACCAAUUUUUUCCUCCGGUGUCUUAUUUUAAAUCUUCAGGACAUACUUCAUAUAUUUCCUUAAAAUCAUUUCUGGAAGAGAAAGACUCCAUUCAAAGAAAUGAGACCUAGCAUGGCUGCACAUAGUAACAAUGCAUGGAAUGUUCUUUGCUUUACCUUUCCAGCUGGAUUUGCUCAGAUUGCAUCAAGUAAUCUGCAUAUAUUGUUGGCUCUCUUCUAUUCGUGAGCGCUAUCUAGAGAACAGGGUUUCAGGAGGCCAUUUGUCCUUGCAGCGUGGAUGAGUGGCCGACUACUCUAGGUGUGUGUGUAAGUGGUAACUGAGGAGAAGCAGCAGCCAGACAAGGUAACCUCAGCUGACUAAGUGGUCUGGCAGAGGCAGGCAGGGAGCAGGGAUGGCACCAGUGCCACUGCAGUAAUUUCCUUGUGAGGCUUCAUGUGUGAACCAGCUGAUAUUUGUUGACAUGUGAGCCCUGCAGACAAUUCCAUCGUUUCUAGAGUUGAUACGUUCUUAAAUCAGGGUCAGUACUUACACAGUGCUUUUAUCCAUAGAAUGGAUUACAUUUAAAUUUGUAUACUUUCUGAGAAAUUAAGAGAUAUACAGUAAAGUAUCCAAGAAAACAUAUUUCCAUAGCAAAGGUGCAUACCCACAGUGUUCAGCUCAUGAAGUGGGCAAAACUGAUGAAGAUACAUCAGCAUGGUCUUUUCUUCUGAUGAUCAGUAUUCCAUGAACAUUUUUUCACAGUGAAAAUGUGUAUAGAAAGUAACCAUUUCAUGGUAACGGUAAUGGAAAUUACUUACUCUUAAGACGUAUGGUUCCUUUCGCAUGUUAUUCCUGAUGUAUAAGUACAUAACUUCUUUAAGUGUC
Phalacrocorax carbo (great cormorant) is the source of this 3381-nucleotide non-coding RNA. Lineage: Eukaryota; Metazoa; Chordata; Aves; Suliformes; Phalacrocoracidae. The record is from RefSeq and is a predicted model, not a curated record.